RNAcentral lists this non-coding RNA (30 nucleotides) under Homo sapiens (human). Lineage: Eukaryota; Metazoa; Chordata; Mammalia; Primates; Hominidae. The record is from RNAcentral.
UGAGAGGACUGAUGUCAUUGAGGAGGCCUG